Molecule: ribosomal RNA, 423 nt
Filed under: uncultured bacterium
Lineage: Bacteria
Description: bacterial SSU rRNA
Rfam family: Bacterial small subunit ribosomal RNA
Source: RNAcentral
UAGGGAAUAUUGGUCAAUGGAUGGAAGUCUGAACCAGCCAUGCCGCGUGCAGGAAGAAGGCCUUCUGGGUUGUAAACUGCUUUUGCCAGGGGAUAAAAUGGCUAUGCGUAGCUAAUUGAAGGUACCUGGUGAAUAAGCCACGGCUAACUACGUGCCAGCAGCCGCGGUAAUACGUAGGUGGCAAGCGUUGUCCGGAUUUAUUGGGUUUAAAGGGUGCGUAGGCGGCUUUGUAAGUCAGUGGUGAAAUAUCGCAGCUUAACUGUGAGGGUGCCAUUGAUACUGCAGAGCUUGAGUACAGAUGAGGUAGGCGGAAUUGACGGUGUAGCGGUGAAAUGCUUAGAUAUCGUCAAGAACACCUAUAGCGAAGGCAGCUUACUAGGCUGUAACUGACGCUGAGGCACGAAAGUGUGGGGAUCAAACAGG